GGAUGAACGCUAGCGACAGGCCUAACACAUGCAAGUCGAGGGGCAGCACAUGAGUAGCAAUACGAUGGUGGCGACCGGCGCACGGGUGAGUAACACGUAUGCAACCUGCCUUCUACUAUGGGAUAACCCGUUGAAAGACGGACUAAUACCGUAUAAUACAGGGGCUCCGCAUGGAGAUAUUUGUUAAAGAUUUAUUGGUAGAAGAUGGGCAUGCGUAUGAUUAGAUAGUUGGUGAGGUAACGGCUCACCAAGUCAACGAUCAUUAGGGGUUCUGAGAGGAAGGUCCCCCACACUGGUACUGAGACACGGACCAGACUCCUACGGGAGGCAGCAGUGAGGAAUAUUGGUCAAUGGGCGGCAGCCUGAACCAGCCAUCCCGCGUGAAGGAAGAAUGCGCCAUGCGUUGUAAACUUCUUUUUCAGGGGGAUAAAAUUCUGUAUGUAUACAGGACUGAAGGUACCCUGAGAAUAAGCAUCGGCUAACUCCGUGCCAGCAGCCGCGGUAAUACGGAGGAUGCGAGCGUUAUCCGGAUUUAUUGGGUUUAAAGGGUGCGUAGGCGGGCGCUUAAGUCAGCGGUGAAAGGCAGCGGCUCAACCGUUGAAUUGCCGUUGAAACUGGGCGCCUUGGAUUCGGUCGAGGCCGGCGGGAAUGCGUGGUGUAGCGGUGAAAUGCUUAGAUAUCACGCGGGAACGCCGAUUGCGAAGGCAGCUGGGCCAGACCGAGAUCGACGCUGAGGCACGAAAGCGUGGGGGAUCAAACAGGGAUUAGAUACCCUGGUAGUCCACGCCGUAAACGAUGAUCACUCGCUGUUAGCGAU
RNAcentral lists this ribosomal RNA (817 nucleotides) under uncultured bacterium. RNAcentral describes it as "bacterial SSU rRNA". It matches the Rfam family "Bacterial small subunit ribosomal RNA", at positions 27 to 830 of the family's 1533-position model. The record is from RNAcentral.